Long non-coding RNA from Mugil cephalus (flathead mullet), 1654 nucleotides. RefSeq lists it as uncharacterized. NCBI's taxonomy places the organism in Eukaryota, Metazoa, Chordata, Actinopteri, Mugiliformes, Mugilidae. The record is from RefSeq and is a predicted model, not a curated record. The transcript has 3 exons.
UAAACACGUAACACGUAACAAGAACAGAGAAAGUUAUGGGAGCAGAAGAUUAAAAGGAGGAACUGGAUGUCAACUGAUUUCUACCUGUUAUGUGAGACAGCAAUAAGAGGAUAUGUGGAAGCUGAUAUGAAGAGGCUCUCUGAGACUUUACACGAUUAAGUGGCAACAGGCUGACCACAUAUUGGCAACACUAAGUGUUAUUUCGCCAUCAGUCACUGAGGUGGCCGUAUUUGUUUUUCAGGGCUCUUCAAAGACUGUGGUACACGACGUGCAGCAACAAACAAUGUACAGACACAGCUGGAGUCGAGCUGAAAUACCGAAGCGGAUGGCGGAGCGGCUGGCCGAUCACGGAUGGGAAGAGUGUCUUCAUUCUCAAUGGAUCUUCAUUAUCAGGAAGCACUAAAAGAUGGCUCAGGUUGAUAGUAUUACUUGCUGCAGCUGGUAUUACGGUGUGUGUUAUUUCUUAAAUGCCAGUUCACACCAUGCCCGUUUGAAACAGUUCCACUGGACUGUGAGAGACAAUCACAAAUGAGUGUUAUUUUUGUUCCUUAGAUUCUAGAAGCUUGAUUAAAUGAACAAUUCUCAGAAUGAACAGACCUCCAACCUCCAUCUCUUAUAUUCCCAAAUUGUCAUGUAACAUCAUCAACUAUAUUUGAAUUAGAUAUUUGAACUCAAUUGAUUAUAUUCACACAAAUCUAAUUUCCCGAGCCCUUAUCUUCCUGUCCAUCUAGUGACAGUUCCAUAAGCUUGUGAAAAUCCAGAACUGGUUUCAACUUUCAACUUUCAAAACUGUUAAUUAUGUCAGAUGUCAGCUGGACAUUGAAUACAGUUUUCUUUUUUCUCCAGGAGCAAAACUUGUUUUCCCUCUGACUCUCUAUACAUACAAUUAAUAAAAUAGUAAUUUUAUUAAUUCAUCCUGAGUAGUUCUGUUUCUCAUCUCUCUCAUAAUUCACAUUUUCUCAUGUGCAAAACACAAAUCUCAGGUACUUUCAAAUGUUGUACCCAUAUACCCAUACUCCUGCUGGAUGACCUUUGGCUGGUGUUACUUAAACUUGAUAGUCUGUAAAUAUUUUUUGUGGGCUCAAUAUAUUUACACUUUUAUACUUUUUUUUUCUCUUACCUUAUUCUUUCUCUCUCUCUUUUUUUUUUUUUUAACUAACUUUUUUAAACUGCCUGACCCACAAUGGUAACAACUGAAUUUCCCCUCGGGUAUCAGUGAGUUCGUAUCGUAUCGUAUCAUUUGGUAUUGUAUCAUACCAUUUAAUAACAGAAAGUGGCUAGUGCUUGUUAAUCGAAGUUACAAACUGCUACAGUAUAGACUGGGAGCAGUUUAACCACCGGGUAUUUUCCUUCUUCCCUCUUAUAGGUGGCUGAAUUCUUCUGCUGAGUCUUUCAAGGCAAUUUAUCCCCCUGAAGCUACUACGUCCUAGCCUGGUGUAGCCACAAUCAGGUAUGAGUUUGGCAACACACCAGACAAAACGUUUGUGUGUGGGGGAAGCCGGGCUUACUAUGUUCAGGGUGGUCAUCAAAAUAGAUCGAUGCCCCGAAAAACUGUUGCUGUGUAACAUGUAUUAACUUUCACUCCCCAAUAAUAAUUUCUCACCUCUACCACUUCCUGUUGUGUUUCACAGCUCAGUGCCUCAUAACUGUGUCU